UACGACGGGGGUUAGCGUUGUUCGGAAUUACUGGGCGUAAAGCGCAUGCAGGCGGAUCGCUAAGUGGGGGGUGAAAGCCCGAGGCUCAAGCUCGGAACUGCCUUCGAUACUGGCGAUCUCGAGUCCGGGAGAGGUUAGUGGAACUCCGAGUGUAGAGGUGAAAUUCGUAGAUAUUCGGAAGAACACCAGUGGCGAAGGCGGCUCACUGGCCCGGUACUGACGCUGAGAUGCGAAAGCGUGGGGAGCAAACAUG
RNAcentral lists this unclassified non-coding RNA (253 nucleotides) under uncultured Alphaproteobacteria bacterium. Its description in RNAcentral is "contains 16S-23S intergenic spacer region". It matches the Rfam family "Bacterial small subunit ribosomal RNA", at positions 524 to 776 of the family's 1533-position model. Lineage: Bacteria; Pseudomonadati; Pseudomonadota; Alphaproteobacteria. The record is from RNAcentral.